GGGCGCAAKYCUGAUGCAGCGMCGCCGCGUGAGGGAUGGAGGCCUUCGGGUUGUAAACCUCUUUUGUUAGGGAGCAAGGCACUUUGUGUUGAGUGUACCUUUCGAAUAAGCACCGGCUAACUACGUGCCAGCAGCCGCGGUAAUACGUAGGGUGCAAGCGUUAUCCGGAAUUAUUGGGCGUAAAGGGCUCGUAGGCGGUUCGUCGCGUCCGGUGUGAAAGUCCAUCGCUUAACGGUGGAUCCGCGCCGGGUACGGGCGGGCUUGAGKGCGGUAGGGGAGACUGGAAUUCCCGGUGUAACGGUGGAAUGUGUAGAUAUCGGGAAGAACACC
RNAcentral lists this ribosomal RNA (330 nucleotides) under uncultured bacterium. RNAcentral's name for it is "bacterial SSU rRNA". It matches the Rfam family "Bacterial small subunit ribosomal RNA", at positions 373 to 710 of the family's 1533-position model. The record is from RNAcentral.